Callithrix jacchus (white-tufted-ear marmoset) is the source of this 632-nucleotide non-coding RNA. Lineage: Eukaryota; Metazoa; Chordata; Mammalia; Primates; Cebidae. The record is from RefSeq and is a predicted model, not a curated record.
CUUUGUCAACGGUAAAGUUGACGUCAUAUGAAAACUCACGAAUAUAGUGACAAUAAACUUCCGAAAUGCUUCUGAGACAAACAUGUGCCUAAAGGAGGAAACACAGACACUUUCAAAAAAUCCAGGGAGCGAGGAUACUGUGAGGAUGAUGUGCAAAGGCCCGGGACUAAAUAGGUGAAGCAUGGCUCCUUCAAGAGACCAGCACUGCUGAAGAUCAGAGAGGGAGAGAGAGAGCACUGGAGAUGAAGCUGAAGACACUGGCAAAAGCCAGACCCUGCAAGCCUCUCUGGACCAAAUGAAGGCUUCCAUCCUAAGAGCAAUGAGGGAAUCUAUUAGUCAGCUUGGGCUGUCAUAAAAAAAAAUACCAGAAACCAGAACCACAGAAUCGUGACUGUCGCAGGGCUCAUGGGCACAAGCACAUAUGGCUCUCUCUGAAAGAAGUUGUGCAUGCCUCAAGUCCCAAAUGUGCUAAUAAAAACAUCCUGCUCUCUAAGUAAGCUUAGUGGGCACUUAUUUAAAAAAUUGUUUUUGUCCCUUUGUUCGGUUCCUCUCCUUGCACAGCAUAUUAAAAUCUCCAGUGAGACUUAAUUUUCUGAAGUCUAAGAGAAAUUUUCCCAAUGGAUUAUUUUAUA